RNAcentral lists this small RNA (132 nucleotides) under Arabidopsis thaliana (thale cress). RNAcentral describes it as "ATSL130920". The record is from RNAcentral. Lineage: Eukaryota; Viridiplantae; Streptophyta; Magnoliopsida; Brassicales; Brassicaceae.
CUUGUUUGCCCGAUAUAAGGAUUCCAAACCACAAGCCUAGUAUUGUCUCCCUUUAAGAUGCAUAACAAUAAAACCCUCACAAUGGAAAACUUCAGAUAUCUUGACUUUAUUUGAAUCGUUUAAGAAAGUAAG